UUAAAAAUAACAAAAUAAACUUAAAUCCUUUCUGAGACUUCUCCUGAACCCAUCAUGUACAAACAAUUCUAACAAAUUUCCUCUCUCCCACCACAUAUUUAUUCUCUACCUCAGUAUUUGCUUAUGUUUAUAGCACUUCAAAUUUUGUACAUAUGUUUAAUUUAUUCAUUUGUUUACUUGCAUAUUCUCUCUUUUCCCUACUAGACUAUAAACUCAACAAGGACAGAGAUAUUUUCCCACUCACAAACAUACACUCAACUUCUGACAUAUUUCUGUCAUAUUCUAGGCUGACAACUAAUGCUUCUCAAGGGAUUGAAUCAAUCUAUCAGUUCAAAUGUCAUCAUUGCUCAUCUACCCAGGAAUUGACCCAAGAAUUGUGAUUGCAGACAUAUACCACUGGAUGGGGAAAAUGAGGUUCACAGAGCAGAAAGAAGUGUUCCAGGUGUCAUAACAGAUGCAGUCUCAGUCUGUCACCCAGGCUGGAGUGCAAUGGCGUCGUCUCAGCUCACUGCAACCUCCGCCUCCCGGGUCCAAGCAAUUCUCCCACCUCAGCCUCCCGAGUAGCUGGGACUACAGGUGUGUGCCACCACACUUGGCUAAUUUUUGUAUUUUUAGUAGAGAUGGGGUUUCACUAUGUUGGCCAGGCUGGUCUCGAACUCCUGAUGUCGUGAUCCACCUACCUUGGCUUCCCAAAGUGCUGGGAUUACAGGUGUGAGCCAUUGCCCAGCAGAGUAAGUUCUUUA
Long non-coding RNA from Pan troglodytes (chimpanzee), 743 nucleotides. RefSeq lists it as uncharacterized. Lineage: Eukaryota; Metazoa; Chordata; Mammalia; Primates; Hominidae. The record is from RefSeq and is a predicted model, not a curated record. The transcript has 4 exons.